AAGAGCUUGAGAUGUUGGCACGCACAGAAGAACAAAGUACUUUGAGAACCGUUGCCAGUGUUAUGAAAGAGGAUUACCAGAAUUGUAUGUUCAAUCAAUUGAGGCAUGUUAAGAUUGCUGGUAUAACUGGGCUUAAACAAGAGCUAAAUUUCGUCAAUUUUCUGCUUUCAAAUUCACCUGUUCUUGAAAGAAUGACAGUCAAGCCAGCUUCAGUUGACGGUGCAUGGGAGAUGCUAAAAGAGUUGCUACGCUUCAGGAGAGCUUCUGUACAAGCUGAAAUCGUUUACGUUGACCCAUAAUUAAGCUGGGCAGCCUGUGGUCUAGUAAGAUCUAGGCGUAUUUACUAUAUUAGUUUAGCAUCUAGUGUAGAAACUAA
Molecule: unclassified non-coding RNA, 376 nt
Filed under: Hevea brasiliensis (rubber tree)
Lineage: Eukaryota; Viridiplantae; Streptophyta; Magnoliopsida; Malpighiales; Euphorbiaceae
Source: RNAcentral